GGGCCCGUAGCACAGCUUGGAUAGUGCGGCAGGCUUCGGACCUGCAGGUCGUGGGUUCGAAUCCCACCGGGCUCG
RNAcentral lists this transfer RNA (75 nucleotides) under Microcaldota archaeon. RNAcentral's name for it is "Candidatus Micrarchaeota archaeon tRNA-Arg". It matches the Rfam family "tRNA". Rfam says of the family: Transfer RNA (tRNA) molecules are approximately 80 nucleotides in length. Their secondary structure includes four short double-helical elements and three loops (D, anti-codon, and T loops). Lineage: Archaea; Nanobdellati; Microcaldota. RNAcentral also lists the same sequence under 1 other name. The record is from RNAcentral.